UGAAAGAGUUUAAAUAGCAUGGGGAGUUUUAAUGUAAAGUCAUGGGGAAAAUUAUCAUUUGAUGCAGCAAAAGUAAUUAUGAAUCAUAUAAUUUCCUAGCAUGUGUGUGUGUGUGUGUGUGUGUGUAAGCAAAUACCCGGUAGCCACCAAUUCAA
Podarcis lilfordi (Lilford's wall lizard) is the source of this 155-nucleotide non-coding RNA. NCBI's taxonomy places the organism in Eukaryota, Metazoa, Chordata, Lepidosauria, Squamata, Lacertidae. The record is from the annotation of a GenBank genome assembly.